RNAcentral lists this ribosomal RNA (496 nucleotides) under uncultured bacterium. Its description in RNAcentral is "partial 16S ribosomal RNA". It matches the Rfam family "Bacterial small subunit ribosomal RNA", at positions 28 to 506 of the family's 1533-position model. The record is from RNAcentral.
GAUGAACGCUGGCGGCGUGCCUAAUACAUGCAAGUCGAGCGAACAGAUGAGGAGCUUGCUCCUCUGACGUUAGCGGCGGACGGGUGAGUAACACGUGGAUAACCUACCUAUAAGACUGGGAUAACUUCGGGAAACCGGAGCUAAUACCGGAUAAUAUAUUGAACCGCAUGGUUCAAUAGUGAAAUACGGUUUUGCUGUCACUUAUAGAUGGAUCCGCGCCGCAUUAGCUAGUUGGUAAGGUAACGGCUUACCAAGGCGACGAUGCGUAGCCGACCUGAGAGGGUGAUCGGCCACACUGGAACUGAGACACGGGCCAGACUCCUACGGGAGGCAGCAGUAGGGAAUCUUCCGCAAUGGGCGAAAGCCUGACGGAGCAACGCCGCGUGAGUGAUGAAGGUCUUCGGAUCGUAAAACUCUGUUAUUAGGGAAGAACAAAUGUGUAAGUAACUAUGCACGUCUUGACGGUACCUAAUCAGAAAGCCACGGCUAACUACGU